GGCGCUGUGGCGCAGAGGGUUAGAGCCCCAGCCUGCAGCGCUGGCAUCCCAUAUGGGCACCGGUUCAAGUCCUGACUGCUCCA
Transfer RNA from Oryctolagus cuniculus (rabbit), 83 nucleotides. It matches the Rfam family "tRNA". Rfam says of the family: Transfer RNA (tRNA) molecules are approximately 80 nucleotides in length. The record is from Rfam. Lineage: Eukaryota; Metazoa; Chordata; Mammalia; Lagomorpha; Leporidae.